Haliotis rubra (blacklip abalone) is the source of this 1359-nucleotide long non-coding RNA. RefSeq lists it as uncharacterized. The record is from RefSeq and is a predicted model, not a curated record. The transcript is spliced from 3 exons. NCBI's taxonomy places the organism in Eukaryota, Metazoa, Mollusca, Gastropoda, Lepetellida, Haliotidae.
UCUAUAGCUACAGAAAGUUGACUGGAUAAGGUCUAAAGCUACAGAAAGUUGACUGGAUAAGGUCUAUAGCUACAGAAAGUUGACUGGAUAAGGUCUAUAGCCACAGAAAGUUGACUGGAUAAGGUCUAUAGCCACAGAAAGUUGUCUGGACAAGGUCUAUAGCUACAGAGAGUUGGCUGGAUAAGGUCUAUAGGCACAGAAAGUUGACUGGAUAAGGUCUAAAGCUACAGAAAGUUGACUGGAUAAGGUCUAAAGCUACAGAAAGUUGUCUGGACAAGGUCUAUAGCUACAGAAAGUUGACUGGAUAAGGUCUAUAGCCACAGAAAGUUGACUGGAUAAGGUCUAUAGCCACAGAAAGUUGUCUGGACAAGGUCUAUAGCUACAGAAAGUUGUCUGGACAAGGUCUAUAGCCACAGAAAGUUGACUGGAUAAGGUCUAUUGCCACAGAAAGUUGAUUGGAUAAGGUCUAAAGCUACAGAAAGUUGUCUGGACAAGGUCUAUAGCUACAGAAAGUUGACUGGAUAAGGUCUAUAGCCACAGAAAAUUGACUGGAUAAGGUCUAAAGCUUCAGAAAGUUGACUGGAUAAGGUCUAAAGCUACAGAAAGUUGUCUGGACAAGGUCUAUAGCUACAGAAAGUUGACUGGAUAAGGUCUAUAGCCACAGAAAGUUGACUGGAUAAGGUCUAAAGCUACAGAAAGUUGACUGGAUAAGGUCUAAAGCUACAGAAAGUUGUCUGGACAAGGUCUAUAGCUACAGAAAGUUGACUGGAUAAGGUCUAUAGCCACAGAAAGUUGACUGGAUAAGGUCUAUAGCCACAGAAAGUUGUCUGGACAAGGUCUAUAGCUACAGAGAGUUGGCUGGAUAAGGUCUAUAGGCACAGAAAGUUGACUGGAUAAGGUCUAAAGCUACAGAAAGUUGACUGGAUAAGGUCUAAAGCUACAGAAAGUUGUCUGGACAAGGUCUAUAGCUACAGAAAGUUGACUGGAUAAGGUCUAUAGCCACAGAAAGUUGACUGGAUAAGGUCUAUAGCCACAGAAAGUUGUCUGGACAAGGUCUAUAGCUACAGAAAGUUGUCUGGACAAGGUCUAUAGCUACAGAAAGUUGACUGGAUAAGGUCUAUUGCCACAGAAAGUUGACUGGAUAAGGUCUAAAGCUACAGAAAGUUGACUGGAUAAGGUCUAUAGCUACAGAAAGUUGACUGGAUAAGGUCUAUAGCCACAGAAAGUUGACUGGAUAAGGUCUAUAGCGACAGAAAGUUCUCUGGAUAAGGUCUAAAGCUACAGAGAGUUGGCUGGAUAAGGUCUAUAGGCACAGAAAGUUGACUGGAUAAGGUCUAUUGCCACAGAAAGUUGACUGGA